GGCGGCGUGCCUAAUACAUGCAAGUCGAGCGAACCGACGGGAGCUUGCUCCCUUAGGUUAGCGGCGGACGGGUGAGUAACACGUGGGUAACCUGCCUGUAAGACUGGGAUAACUCCGGGAAACCGGGGCUAAUACCGGAUGCUUGAUUGAACCGCAUGGUUCAAUUAUAAAAGGUGGCUUUUAGCUACCACUUACAGAUGGACCCGCGGCGCAUUAGCUAGUUGGUGAGGUAACGGCUCACCAAGGCGACGAUGCGUAGCCGACCUGAGAGGGUGAUCGGCCACACUGGGACUGAGACACGGCCCAGACUCCUACGGGAGGCAGCAGUAGGGAAUCUUCCGCAAUGGACGAAAGUCUGACGGAGCAACGCCGCGUGAGUGAUGAAGGUUUUCGGAUCGUAAAACUCUGUUGUUAGGGAAGAACAAGUACCGUUCGAACAGGGCGGUGCCUUGACGGUACCUAACCAGAAAGCCACGGCUAACUACGUGCCAGCAGCCGCGGUAAUACGUAGGUGGCAAGCGUUGUCCGGAAUUAUUGGGCGUAAAGCGCGCGCAGGCGGUUUCUUAAGUCUGAUGUGAAAGCCCCCGGCUCAACCGGGGAGGGUCAUUGGAAACUGGGGAACUUGAGUGCAGAAGAGGAGAGUGGAAUUCCACGUGUAGCGGUGAAAUGCGUAGAGAUGUGGAGGAACACCAGUGGCGAAGGCGACUCUCUGGUCUGUAACUGACGCUGAGGCGCGAAAGCGUGGGGAGCGAACAGGAUUAGAUACCCUGGUAGUCCACGCCGUAAACGAUGAGUGCUAAGUGUUAGAGGGUUUCCGCCCUUUAGUGCUGCAGCAAACGCAUUAAGCACUCCGCCUGGGGAGUACGGUCGCAAGACUGAAACUCAAAGGAAUUGACGGGGGCCCGCACAAGCGGUGGAGCAUGUGGUUUAAUUCGAAGCAACGCGAAGAACCUUACCAGGUCUUGACAUCCUCUGACACCCCUAGAGAUAGGGCUUCCCCUUCGGGGGCAGAGUGACAGGUGGUGCAUGGUUGUCGUCAGCUCGUGUCGUGAGAUGUUGGGUUAAGUCCCGCAACGAGCGCAACCCUUGAUCUUAGUUGCCAGCAUUCAGUUGGGCACUCUAAGGUGACUGCCGGUGACAAACCGGAGGAAGGUGGGGAUGACGUCAAAUCAUCAUGCCCCUUAUGACCUGGGCUACACACGUGCUACAAUGGGCAGAACAAAGGGCAGCGAAGCCGCGAGGCUAAGCCAAUCCCACAAAUCUGUUCUCAGU
Molecule: ribosomal RNA, 1272 nt
Filed under: Bacillus sonorensis
Lineage: Bacteria; Bacillati; Bacillota; Bacilli; Caryophanales; Bacillaceae
Description: bacterial SSU rRNA
Rfam family: Bacterial small subunit ribosomal RNA
Source: RNAcentral